AUGGCAGCGCCUGCCAGACCUGGGACAGUUAUUGCAGCCCCAGACAGGAGGCGCUGGCUGUGGUCAGUGCUGACAGUGGUGCUGGGGCUCUUGACAGCUGGAGUAUCAGCCUUGGAAGCAUAUACACCAAAAGAAAUCUUCAUGGCAAAUGGUACAUAAGGGAAGCUGACCUGCAAGUUCAAGUCUACUAAUAUGACUGGCAGGUUGACCUCAGUCUUCUGGAGCUUCCAGCCAGAGGGGGCUGACACCACCAUGUCAUUUUUCCACUAUUCCCAAGGGCAAGUAUACCUUGGGAAUUAUCCACCAUUUAAAGACAGAAUCAGCUGGGCUGAAGACCUUGACAAGAACGAUGCAUCAAUUAACACAGAAAAUAUGCAGUCUAUACACAAUGGCACCUAUAGCUGUGAUGUCAAAAACCCUCCUGACAUUGUUUCCAGUCUGGACACAUUAGGCUCUAUGUUGUAGAAAAAGAGAGUUUGCCUGUGUUUCCAGUUUGGGUAGUGGGGGGCAUAGUUACUACUGUGAUCCUAGGUCUCACUCUGCUCAUCAGCAUGAUUCUGGCUGUCCUCUAUAGAAGGAAAAACUCUAAACGGGGUUACAUCAGAGAGUUUGUCACCAGUUAAACAGGCUCCUCGGAAGUCCCACUCUGACACUGAGGGUUUUGUAAAGAGUCUGCCUUCUGGAUCUCACCAGGUCCCAGUCAUAUAUGCACAGUUAGACCACUCUGGUGGACAUCACAGUGACAAGAUUAACAAGUCAGAGUCUGUGGUGUAUGUGGAUAUCUGGAAAAAUUAAGAGAAGACCUAGAACAUAUCCUCAGCAAGAAACAGAACCAAACUGGACUCUGGUUCAGCAAAUGUAGCCCAUUACCACAUGUAGCCUUGGAGACCCAGGCAAGGACAAGUACAUGUGUACUCACAGAGGGAGAGAAAGAUAUGUACAAAAAUAUGUAUAAAUAUUCUAUUUAAUCUUCCUGAUGUGAGGAGCCAAUGUUGCAUGAUGAAAAGAUGGUAUGAUUCUAUAUAUG
Molecule: RNA transcript, 1027 nt
Organism: Piliocolobus tephrosceles (Ugandan red Colobus)
Lineage: Eukaryota; Metazoa; Chordata; Mammalia; Primates; Cercopithecidae
Gene name: myelin protein zero-like protein 1 pseudogene
Exons: 1
Source: RefSeq, a predicted model, not a curated record